AACGCGAAGAACCUUACCUACCCUUUGACAUGCACGAACUUAUCCUGAGAGAUCUUGGUUCCUUUGUGAGAGCGUGUGCCACAGGUGCAUGAUGGUUGUCAUCUGGUCGUGUCAUGAGAUGUUGUGUUAAGUCCCGCAACGAGCGCAACCCUUGUCAGUAGUUGCCAUCAUUAGGUUGGGCACUCUAAUGAGACUGCCGGUGACAAACCGGAGGAAGGUGGGGAUGACGUCAAGUCCUCAUGGCCCUUAUGGGUGGGGCUUCACACGUCAUACAAUGGUCGGUACAGAGGGUUGCCAACCCGCGAGGUGGAGCCAAUCCCAAAAAGCCGAUCAUAUUCCGUAUUGGACUCUGCCACUCGACUCCAUGAAGUCAGAAUCGCUAGUAAUCGCAUAUCAGCAUGCUGCGGUAAAUACUUUCCCGGGUCUUGUACACACCG
Molecule: ribosomal RNA, 437 nt
Filed under: uncultured bacterium
Lineage: Bacteria
Description: bacterial SSU rRNA
Rfam family: Bacterial small subunit ribosomal RNA
Source: RNAcentral